ACUGCCCUUUCCCAAUGGCACAAGGAAAAUAAGAUUAAAUAUAAAACUAUAAGAUUAAAUAUAAAACUAACACUAUGUUUGGAUGGGUAGAAAAGGGGGAGGAAGGAAAAUAACUAAGAGAAAAUAACUUUCAAAAGACACUUUCUUUUGUUUGGACAAAGGAGGAAAAAUAAGGAAGGGAAAAUAAAUCUUAUUUUCCUGUAGUUAUUUUCUCUCCAAAUUGGA
This 225-nucleotide unclassified non-coding RNA is filed under the name Hevea brasiliensis (rubber tree). Lineage: Eukaryota; Viridiplantae; Streptophyta; Magnoliopsida; Malpighiales; Euphorbiaceae. The record is from RNAcentral.